UUUAUGGAGAGUUUGAUCCUGGCUCAGAGUGAACGCUGGCGGCGUGCCUAAUACAUGCAAGUCGAACGAUGAAGCUUCUAGCUUGCUAGAAGUGGAUUAGUGGCGCACGGGUGAGUAACGCAUAGGUCAUGUGCCUCUUAGUUUGGGAUAGCCAUUGGAAACGAUGAUUAAUACCAGAUACUCCCUACGGGGGAAAGAUUUAUCGCUAAGAGAUCAGCCUAUGUCCUAUCAGCUUGUUGGUAAGGUAAUGGCUUACCAAGGCUAUGACGGGUAUCCGGCCUGAGAGGGUGAACGGACACACUGGAACUGAGACACGGUCCAGACUCCUACGGGAGGCAGCAGUAGGGAAUAUUGCUCAAUGGGGGAAACCCUGAAGCAGCAACGCCGCGUGGAGGAUGAAGGUUUUAGGAUUGUAAACUCCUUUUGUUAGAGAAGAUAAUGACGGUAUCUAACGAAUAAGCACCGGCUAACUCCGUGCCAGCAGCCGCGGUAAUACGGAGGGUGCAAGCGUUACUCGGAAUCACUGGGCGUAAAGAGCGCGUAGGCGGGAUAGUCAGUCAGGUGUGAAAUCCUAUGGCUUAACCAUAGAACUGCAUUUGAAACUACUAUUCUAGAGUGUGGGAGAGGUAGGUGGAAUUCUUGGUGUAGGGGUAAAAUCCGUAGAGAUCAAGAGGAAUACUCAUUGCGAAGGCGACCUGCUAGAACAUUACUGACGCUGAUUGCGCGAAAGCGUGGGGAGCAAACAGGAUUAGAUACCCUGGUAGUCCACGCCCUAAACGAUGGAUGCUAGUUGUUGGAGGGCUUAGUCUCUCCAGUAAUGCAGCUAACGCAUUAAGCAUCCCGCCUGGGGAGUACGGUCGCAAGAUUAAAACUCAAAGGAAUAGACGGGGACCCGCACAAGCGGUGGAGCAUGUGGUUUAAUUCGAGGAUACACGAAGAACCUUACCUAGGCUUGACAUUGAGAGAAUCCGCUAGAAAUAGUGGAGUGUCUAGCUUGCUAGACCUUGAAAACAGGUGCUGCACGGCUGUCGUCAGCUCGUGUCGUGAGAUGUUGGGUUAAGUCCCGCAACGAGCGCAACCCCCUUUCUUAGUUGCUAACAGGUUAUGCUGAGAACUCUAAGGAUACUGCCUCCGUAAGGAGGAGGAAGGUGGGGACGACGUCAAGUCAUCAUGGCCCUUACGCCUAGGGCUACACACGUGCUACAAUGGGGUGCACAAAGAGAAGCAAUACUGCGAAGUGGAGCCAAUCUUCAAAACACCUCUCAGUUCGGAUUGUAGGCUGCAACUCGCCUGCAUGAAGCUGGAAUCGCUAGUAAUCGCAAAUCAGCCAUGUUGCGGUGAAUACGUUCCCGGGUCUUGUACUCACCGCCCGUCACACCAUGGGAGUUGUGUUUGCCUUAAGUCAGGAUGCUAAAUUGGCUACUGCCCACGGCACACACAGCGACUGGGGUGAAGUCGUAACAAGGUAACCGUAGGUGAACCUGCGGUUGGAUCACCUCCUUU
This 1503-nucleotide ribosomal RNA is filed under the name Helicobacter pylori. RNAcentral's name for it is "bacterial SSU rRNA". It matches the Rfam family "Bacterial small subunit ribosomal RNA". The record is from RNAcentral. Lineage: Bacteria; Pseudomonadati; Campylobacterota; Epsilonproteobacteria; Campylobacterales; Helicobacteraceae.